Molecule: long non-coding RNA, 1029 nt
Filed under: Capra hircus (goat)
Lineage: Eukaryota; Metazoa; Chordata; Mammalia; Artiodactyla; Bovidae
Description: lncRNA (ENSCHIG00010008632.1)
Source: RNAcentral
UACCUUUAUAUAACUAUUCUUUACUUACUACAAUAAUAAAUAUGAUACAAUAAAACAACUGGUUUAUAGGUAGGAAAUACUAUCUGAAAAUCAAUAAGUGCUUUUUUUCAACCACAUGCCAGAUGAUACAUAAAAUGUACAAUGUUUAGGGUUCCAUGUUGAAAAUUAACAUAGUGUGGCAUUAAUAUGUAUUGGUUUAUUCUGAUUUGGUGUCCCUUGCUAUCUUGUUUCCCUGAGUAUCAUGCCAUAUUUCUCCUGUAAGAGUUUUAGCUUUAAAUUUUCCAACUUCAUAAUCUCCAGAAAUAUUUAUUUUAAAAUAUCAUUUUCUGAAGGGCCUAUUACACAACUCAAUCAUAUUUGCAAUUUACUGCACUGAAAAUUAGGUUGUCAUGAUUGUUUUAUAGGCUUCAUUUUGAAUAUUUAUUCAAAAAUAAAUAUUNNNNNNNNNNNNNNNNNNNNNNNGAAUCCAUCAUCUCAGGAAAAAGGCUUAUGAGAAAUGUCAAGUUGUUUAAUUCAUUUGAGAACAUGCACUUGUACCUCCUAGCUAGCUUUCACAUCUAGGGCCCUAUCUUUUCAAAGUUGUAAAGAUUUUUGUCAUUUUUGUGGACGUAGAAGACUGUGUAUAUUUUCUGUGUCUGGAGAUAUGGUCCCCAUAUUUGGAUACACUUAUGUGCAUGACUGGCUAUGCACUCAAAUAAGCAUGUAUAUAACUAUAUGCAUUAAAAAUCUAUUGGGAACAGCAAAAUUAGUCAUUUAUUUUAGUAUAUCCUCAAUAUUUUCUGUAAUUAUCUCACCAAUAAUUAUAUGGUUCUCAUUUAUAUUAACGAUUAUUCUCCUUACAGUACUUUCCUCUUUUUUCAUUCACAGAUGCUAAUGAUAAUAAUGGAUUAUCUUUUUUUUUUUUUUUUUUUUAGUGACUUGAAGACAAAAUUCUAUCGAGUAUUUGAACUGCACCAAAUCUAUGUGGCAAAAGUUUUCCCUGGUUGCACAGCUGGUAGAGAAUGUACCUGCCAAUGCAGGCAAGAGACA